AUUGAACGCUGGCGGCAGGCUUAACACAUGCAAGUCGAGCGAGCGGCGGACGGGUGAGUAAUGUGUGGGAAUCUGCCUGGUGGAGGGGGAUCACUUGUGGACACUGUCGCUAAUACCGCAAACCAUCAGAUGCCCCGAGAUGGGAUUAGCUAGUAGGUGGGGUAAUGGCUCCCCUAGGCGGCGAUCCCUAGCUGGUCUGAGAGGAUGACCAGCCACACUGGAACUGAGACACGGUCCAGACUCCUACGGGAGGCAGCAGUGGGGAAUAUUGCACAAUGGGCGCAAGCCUGAUGCAGCCAUGCCGCGUGUGUGAAGAAGGCCUUCGGGUUGUAAAGCACUUUCAGCGAGGAGGCGUUACUCGCAGAAGAAGCACCGGCUAACUCCGUGCCAGCAGCCGCGGUAAUAC
Molecule: ribosomal RNA, 406 nt
Filed under: uncultured bacterium
Lineage: Bacteria
Description: partial 16S ribosomal RNA
Rfam family: Bacterial small subunit ribosomal RNA
Source: RNAcentral